UACGGAGGGUGCGAGCGUUAAUCGGAAUUACUGGGCGUAAAGCGCAUGUAGGCGGUUUGGUAAGUCGGAUGUGAAAUCCCUGGGCUUAACCUGGGAAUGGCAUUCGAUACUGCCAGGCUAGAGUAGGAUAGAGGAGAGGGGAAUUCCGCGUGUAGCAGUGAAAUGCGUAGAUAUGUGGAGGAACACCAAUGGCGAAGGCACCUCUCUGGGUCCAUACUGACGCUGAGAUGCGAAAGCGUGGGGAGCAAACAGG
RNAcentral lists this ribosomal RNA (253 nucleotides) under uncultured bacterium. Its description in RNAcentral is "partial 16S ribosomal RNA". It matches the Rfam family "Bacterial small subunit ribosomal RNA", at positions 524 to 776 of the family's 1533-position model. The record is from RNAcentral.